CGGGUGAGUAACGCGUGAGGAACCUGCCUCAAAGAGGGGGACAACAGUUGGAAACGACUGCUAAUACCGCAUAAGCCCACGGCUCGGCAUCGAGCAGAGGGAAAAGGAGCAAUCCGCUUUGAGAUGGCCUCGCGUCCGAUUAGCUGGUUGGUGAGGUAACGGCCCACCAAGGCGACGAUCGGUAGCCGGGCUGAGAGGUUGAACGGCCACAUUGGGACUGAGACACGGCCCAG
This 233-nucleotide ribosomal RNA is filed under the name uncultured bacterium. Its description in RNAcentral is "partial 16S ribosomal RNA". It matches the Rfam family "Bacterial small subunit ribosomal RNA", at positions 103 to 334 of the family's 1533-position model. The record is from RNAcentral.